GAGAGCCACAGCGAAGACGGCGGGUAGCUGCGAGGUCAGGUGGGGCCUCGGGGCUGCUGCAGGGCAGUGAGACUGGAGCCCACCGGGCUCCUCUGUCCAUGGGCCUUCCCAGGCAAGAACACUGGAGUGGGUUGCCCUUUCCUGCUCCAGGGGAAUCUUCCCGACUCAGGGAUCGGACCUGUGUCUCCUGCACUGGCAGCCAGCCCACAAGGUGGGUACUUUCUCAUUUGCCAGAUGAGAAAACUGAGGGCCAGAGAUACUAAGCUUUGCCCACAGUUCCACAGCGACGGAGGGCAGUUUCCCGACAUGUGGGUGAUCCCCACAGCCUGAGCUCCUUCUACCAUCUCUCCGGUGUCUCCAGCUCCUGGAACUCCUCAAGCAUCAGGCACAGGUUGCCAUCAUACUCCAGGAAAGUCAGGUAGAGGUUGCGGAAGGAUUCCACAUGCUUAUUCUUCACGCGAAGCUUCUUUGGGCAGGGGUUGCACCAGCCACGGGUGCUCCUUGAUGACGGCGUUGAAGAUGUCCUGGGCAGAGACGGUCGCUGUCACACCUCGGCCCAGAGCCCGCCCCCACCGCCCUCCGGAGCCCCCAGACCUGGUCGGCC
Molecule: long non-coding RNA, 604 nt
Organism: Dama dama (fallow deer)
Lineage: Eukaryota; Metazoa; Chordata; Mammalia; Artiodactyla; Cervidae
Exons: 5
Source: RefSeq, a predicted model, not a curated record